AAGAUUGGCAGCUUGAAAACUGUUCUGCUUUCUACUCUGGAGGACCUGGGUUUGAGUCUUGUGUCCUACCUCUUGAAAAUAUUUAUCAUGGAAUCCAAGUCUGGCCUGUCGAUCCCCAUUCUCCACAAUCUGGCAGACCCCUCUGGAGAGGUGGGCAGCUUGUGGAAGGAUGAGAGAGAAGUAAUGAAAAUAUUUAUUAUGGAAUCCAAGUCUGGCUGUCGAUCCCCAUUCUCCACAAUCUGGCAGACCCCUCUGGAGAGGUGGGCAGCUUGUGGAAGGAUGAGAGAGAAGUAAUGAAAAGAAGCAAUACUCAUAAAUGGAAACCCUAAUCAAGGGGUAUAUGAGAGAAAAAUAUUGGGAACCACUAUG
Molecule: long non-coding RNA, 369 nt
Filed under: Androctonus crassicauda
Lineage: Eukaryota; Metazoa; Arthropoda; Arachnida; Scorpiones; Buthidae
Source: RNAcentral